CCCUUAGAUGUUCUGGGCCGCACGCGUGCUACACUGAGUGGAUCAGCGGGUCAGGUUGCGCGAAAGCGUUUCCUAAUCUUUAAAUCCGCUCGUGAUGGGGAUUGACGGUUGCAAUUUUCUGUCAUGAACGAGGAAUACCUUGUAAGCGCGGGUCAUCAUCCCGCGCUGAAUACGUCCCUGCCCUUUGUACACACCGCCCGUCGCUCCUACCGAUUGGAUGGUUUAGUGAGAUCCUCGGAUUGGUCCCGGAGCGGCCUCUGGUCGUGCCGGAGUGCCGAAAAGAAUGUCGAACUUGAUCAUCUAGAGGAAGUAAAAGUCGUAACA
RNAcentral lists this ribosomal RNA (324 nucleotides) under uncultured eukaryote. RNAcentral's name for it is "partial 18S ribosomal RNA". It matches the Rfam family "Eukaryotic small subunit ribosomal RNA", at positions 1470 to 1796 of the family's 1831-position model. The record is from RNAcentral.